Molecule: ribosomal RNA, 492 nt
Filed under: uncultured bacterium
Lineage: Bacteria
Description: partial 16S ribosomal RNA
Rfam family: Bacterial small subunit ribosomal RNA
Source: RNAcentral
AGUGAACGCUGGCGGUAGGCCUAACGCAUGCAAGUCGAACGGCAGCACAGUAAGAGCUUGCUCUUACGGGUGGCGAGUGGCGGACGGGUGAGGAAUACAUCGGAAUCUACUUUUUCGUGGGGGAUAACGUAGGGAAACUUACGCUAAUACCGCAUACGACCUACGGGUGAAAGCAGGGGAUCUUCGGACCUUGCGCGAUUGAAUGAGCCGAUGUCGGAUUAGCUAGUUGGCGGGGUUAAGGCCCACCAAGGCGACGAUCCGUAGCUGGUCUGAGAGGAUGAUCAGCCACACUGGAACUGAGACACGGUCCAGACUCCUACGGGAGGCAGCAGUGGGGAAUAUUGGACAAUGGGCGCAAGCCUGAUCCAGCCAUACCGCGUGGGUGAAGAAGGCCUUCGGGUUGUAAAGCCCUUUUGUUGGGAAAGAAAAGCAGCAGGUUAAUACCCCGCUGUUCUGACGGUACCCAAAGAAUAAGCACCGGCUAACUUCGUG